UUCUUCUGAAUUAUUGUUCAUUUGGUCAAUUGGGUCAGUAUUGUUUUGGUGAAUUUUGGUUUGAAUUUGUGAUUUGGUUUUUCAGGGCAGGGGUUUGAAUUCAAUUCCUCGGGAAAUGGGGGUUAUGUCUAGGCAGGUUUUGCCCAUUUGUGGUAAAGUCUGUUUCUUCUAUCCUUCCCUGCGGCCAAGGUCGAGACAGCCUGUGAAGCGGUACAAAAAUCUUCUUGCUAAUAUCUUCCCUCGGUCUCAGGUCAGUUGACGUGACUUUUUGCGAUUCUUGUGCUUCUGUAUGUUGAGGAUGAUUACUUCAAAGUAUUCUAUCAGGUACAUUGUUAUUGAGUACUUAACAAAAAGAGAAAAAAAGGAAAAAAGUACCUCGUGUUUGACAUUGAUCUGGUUGAUUUAUAUGCUCCGGGGAUUCAAAUGUGUUCUGAAAAUGGAGGGAAAAUUUAGAGAGAUGUUGAUUGGGACAAUCUGCUUUUGAGGGUAAAAAAUGAAAAGGGCAACAUAUCAUUACACGAGGCCUUGAUGAAUGUUCACCAAGUUGUAGCUUAUUAUUUGAUCACGUACGGUAGAUCCAGAAGUGUUAUAUUAUCUGAACAAUGACGUGAAAUCAACUCUGUUUCUAGCUGCUGAAGUAGGGUUUUUGGAACUUGUCACGCAUAUUCUAUGUGAUACGGUUGGGAUUGAAAAUACAAAUGAAAGACUUAAAGGGUAAUCACCUAUUCAUGCUGCCAUGUUAAAAAGAAACUGUAAUUCUAACACUUAUUCUUGAUUUCUCUUUGGUUUUUGCAUUUUUGUUUCUCAAUUUAUUUUAAAAUCCCAGGUGUUUUAGAUGCCUUAUUGAAAUCAGAACCAAGGUUCAUUCAAUUAAGAGAUGAAGAAGGACUCCACUUCACUUGAUUGCAUGAUUGGGCUAUCUUGAAGAGGUUCAGUACUUGUUAGGAAGACAGAGUUCAGGUGCUAUUGCAAGGGACAACAAUGGCUUACUUCCCUAUUCAUUUAGCAUCAAUUAAAGGCCAUGUUGAUGUUGUCCGGGCGUUGCUUCAGUAUUGGCCUGAUUCGAGGGAACUGCUCAACUGUCAUGGUCAAAAUAUUCUUCAUGUUGCUGCCAAGAGCAGAGGACAUAACUGUUUAGUUACAUUCUCCAAGCUCCCGAGCUCGAGAAGCUUUAUAAACAUGAGGGACAAGCAUGGAAACACACCCUUGCAUUUGGCCACCAUGGACUGGCAUCCAAAGAUUGUAUGCACACAUAGAGGAAGUGCAAUGCACAUUUGUUUUAUGUGCACAUAGGAAAACUGUAAUAUCAGUGAAAUUCAAUGCGACAAGUGUAAGGGAAAGGCACAUUGUACAAUGACAGAAAAUUUGGGACAUUUGAUAAUGCAACUCAAUUUUUCUUUUAAAUUUGACCUUGUAAACAAUUAUUAAUGAAUAUACUAGAAUCUUGAAUAAGAA
This is a non-coding RNA of Camellia sinensis, 1455 nucleotides long. Lineage: Eukaryota; Viridiplantae; Streptophyta; Magnoliopsida; Ericales; Theaceae. The record is from RefSeq and is a predicted model, not a curated record.